RNAcentral lists this ribosomal RNA (673 nucleotides) under Geotrichum citri-aurantii. RNAcentral describes it as "partial 26S ribosomal RNA". It matches the Rfam family "Eukaryotic large subunit ribosomal RNA", at positions 1 to 694 of the family's 3401-position model. The record is from RNAcentral. Lineage: Eukaryota; Fungi; Ascomycota; Dipodascomycetes; Dipodascales; Dipodascaceae.
UUGUUUGUAUUAAAUUAUAAUCAACCUCAGAUCAAGUAGGACUACCCGCUGAACUUAAGCAUAUCAAUAAGCGGAGGAAAAGAAACCAACAGGGAUUGCCUUAGUAACGGCGAGUGAAGCGGCAAAAGCUCAAAUUUGAAAUCGGCCAACAGGUCGAGUUGUAAUUUGUAGAUUGUAUCUUGAGAGCGGAUUAAAGUCUGUUGGAAUACAGCGCCUUAGAGGGUGACAGCCCCGUAAAAUCUAUUCUCAUUGUAAGAUACUUUCGAAGAGUCGAGUUGUUUGGGAAUGCAGCUCUAAGUGGGAGGUAAAUUCCUUCUAAAGCUAAAUAUUGACGAGAGACCGAUAGCGAACAAGUACUGUGAAGGAAAGAUGAAAAGCACUUUGAAAAGAGAGUGAAAAAGUACGUGAAAUUGUUAAAAGGGAAGGGUAUUGAAUCAGACGUGGUUUUGUUGUUCAGCAUUGUUUCGGCAGUGUGUAUUCAACAAUACUAGGCCAAGGUGGGGUGAUUGGGAGUGAAAAAGAAGUAGGAAUGUAGCUCCUCGGAGUGUUAUAACCUACUUUCAUAACUCCUCAGUCGCCUCAGGACUGCGCUUCGGCAAGGACUUUGGCAUAAUGAUUCUAUACCGCCCGUCUUGAAACACGGACCAAGGAGUCUAACGUCUAUGCGAGUGUU